Molecule: ribosomal RNA, 254 nt
Filed under: uncultured soil bacterium
Lineage: Bacteria
Description: partial 16S ribosomal RNA
Rfam family: Bacterial small subunit ribosomal RNA
Source: RNAcentral
AGGACGAACGCUGGCGGCGUGCUUAACACAUGCAAGUCGAGCGGUAAGGCCCUUCGGGUACAUGAGCGGCGAACGGGUGAGUAACACGUGGGUAACCUGCCCUGUACUCUGGGAUAAGCCUGGGAAACUAGGUCUAAUACCGGAUAUGACCUGACAUCGCAUGGUGUCGGGUGGAAAGUUCCGGCGGUACAGGAUGGACCCGCGGCCUAUCAGCUUGUUGGUGGGGUAAUGGCCUACCAAGGCGACGACGGGUA